GUCUGGCUGGCUCAGUAGGUAGAGCAUGUGACUCUUAAUCUCAGGGUCAUGAGUUCGAGCCCCACAAUAGGCA
Molecule: transfer RNA, 73 nt
Filed under: Felis catus (domestic cat)
Lineage: Eukaryota; Metazoa; Chordata; Mammalia; Carnivora; Felidae
Also listed under: 4 other names
Rfam family: tRNA
About the family: Transfer RNA (tRNA) molecules are approximately 80 nucleotides in length.
Source: Rfam by way of RNAcentral